This 558-nucleotide unclassified non-coding RNA is filed under the name Hevea brasiliensis (rubber tree). The record is from RNAcentral. Lineage: Eukaryota; Viridiplantae; Streptophyta; Magnoliopsida; Malpighiales; Euphorbiaceae.
CCUGAACAUUUUGCAUAAGAAUUCAAUCAGUAGUGAGACUAUUAAAAAAUACAGAAAUAGUAAAAAUGAAGCAUGCAUAAAAAAAAAAAAAGAUGCUUAUACCGCUCUCUUCACAAAAGAAACACUGCUCCUACUAACAAUAAUGAGACUAUAGCCAAGUUCUUUAUUUUUUGGUGAUAUAUGUUAUGAUUAGUGCUUGUAAAAUAACUAAUAAUUGACCCGUCUCCAAAUGCAUAGCUUGGUAGUCUUCAGAAAAUAACUCAAGUAAGAAGCUUUUGAAAAUGAUAAUUUAACCAUAUACAGCCCAAGUUACAGAUCAAUUGUCCAGAACCAAAAUGAACCUUCCCUGUCUUUUAGCUCCGUGCUCAGACUACACCAAUUGAAAACUUGAUUGCAUGAUUCACGGAUUAUUUUCUUCACAACAGAGUAGACUGAACUCUAAAGUAGUACUAUCCUUUUCAUUUUUUAUCUCUUUCUUGAAGUCCAUUUUUCAAUGAUUUUCACUAAAAUAUAAAAAAUGUAAUCCAUUAUUCUGACAAUUUUGCAAGUGGAUGAUGG